Molecule: ribosomal RNA, 482 nt
Filed under: uncultured bacterium
Lineage: Bacteria
Description: partial 16S ribosomal RNA
Rfam family: Bacterial small subunit ribosomal RNA
Source: RNAcentral
ACGCACGCUGGCGGCGUGCUUCACCCCUGCCAGUCGCACGCUGAAGCUCAGCUUUUGUUGGGUGGAUGAGUGGCGAACGGGUGAGUAACACGUGAGUAACCUGCCUCCUUCUUUGGGAUAACGCCCGGAAACGGGUGCUAAUACUGGAUAUUCACUGGUCUUCGCAUGGGGGUUGGUGGAAAGGGUUUUUCUGGUGGGGGAUGGGCUCGCGGCCUAUCAGCUUGUUGGUGGGGUGAUGGCCUACCAAGGCUUUGACGGGUAGCCGGCCUGAGAGGGUGACCGGUCACAUUGGGACUGAGAUACGGCCCAGACUCCUACGGGAGGCAGCAGUGGGGAAUAUUGCACAAUGGGCGCAAGCCUGAUGCAGCGACGCCGCGUGAGGGAUGGAGGCCUUCGGGUUGUGAACCUCUUUCGCUCAUGGUCAAGCCGCAACAAUGGUUGUGGUGAGGGUAGUGGGUAAAGAAGCGCCGGCUAACUACGUG